UUUUGAUAAAGCAAUAAUCGGCAACUCAGUGAAGAAGGUUUAGUUAGCCUUGCUGAGAACGGGUUAAAUGCAAAGUUUUGGUUAUAUGGGAUACUGUAUGACUGGGGCUUCCUGUUGAUAGUGAUUGAUAUAGGAUAGAGACAGAAGUCUCAAAUGCAAGAUUCGGUUGCCGGUCUAUAUGAGCAAAACGUCUAAUCAACGAGUCGGAGCGAUAAUUGAGGAGAUUCACAGUCAAAUGGGAAUCGAUGCGGCUCUUAAGUUCUAUAUGGGGACAUAUAUGAUUACUGAGAGUAAUUCCAAAACAAGCUCUUGCCGAUGACCUGGAGAAAUCCGGCUAUAAGACAAAACAGAUUAGGGCGAGUACCACAAGGCAAAUUUUGAUACGUUUGAUAGUAAUAAUCAAAUUUAUUGAAUUCUAACAAGAAAACUGAAUAACGUGGGAAAGUUGGGAGUAUCAAUCUCCUCAGAGUGUCAGGUGGGGUAUACCACCGGGGCAUACAGGUUAGGGCGACGGCCCGAAACCUCAGGUAUGUUUCCUCUGUGACAGAACAUUGCGUAAUAUAGGCUUUAGGUAGGGCGAAAGUCCGCCGAUUGUUGUAUUUUUAU
This 606-nucleotide non-coding RNA is filed under the name unclassified sequences. RNAcentral describes it as "ROOL RNA". It matches the Rfam family "ROOL RNA". From Rfam's summary of the family: Firmicutes, Fusobacteria (1 example), Tenericutes (1 example). Environment (Cow rumen (57)) The record is from Rfam by way of RNAcentral.